This is a long non-coding RNA of Hemicordylus capensis (graceful crag lizard), 615 nucleotides long. RefSeq lists it as uncharacterized. NCBI's taxonomy places the organism in Eukaryota, Metazoa, Chordata, Lepidosauria, Squamata, Cordylidae. The transcript is spliced from 2 exons. The record is from RefSeq and is a predicted model, not a curated record.
UCACGAGGGCGCGUGUGGGAUGCUGAGCUGGUGAAACCGUCUCUGUGGGCCAAACAGUCAGAGGACUCCCCUUCCUAACGUUAAUCCUCUCCGUAACGUUGCAAGGAAAGCACGAAGCUCCUGCUAACUUCAGAUUGGCCCCGUCUCCAGGCUCAAUCUGUGCAACACACUUGGCUGCCUCAAGGAACUGGUUUAUUGGAGCAAGACCCCCUUUGGACUCUUUCUGGCUUCCCAAUCUGCAAGUGGGACAUGAGCCCCAGCUUUUGCAUCCCGCUUCCCUGCUUGUCCCUGGAGAGAGAAGUCCCUCAGCAUCAGCUGAGCAACAAGUGUCUGAACACACCAUCAGAAGGAACUAGGUAUACUAAUCUCUGCUCUGAAAUCUCUUGCUCCCCUCUCUUCCUGCUCUCUUUAAAGUCUAAAGCUGUUCUCUAAGGCCAUUUCUCUGGCCAGCCUUGAGUGGAUUUAAUUCAGAUCAAGCUAAAAUGUCUCUUUGUGAGCUCCAAUCUAAUAUUAUUGAUAUUAUUAGCCUGGUUAGUUUUGUUAGUUAAUAUUGUGUUGCUUGCUAAUCAAGAUUUCUGUAUCCCUAAAACCCUAAAUAAACCUGACUGUAUUUGA